CGAUGAUUCAAAGUUAAAAUUGUUUGGUUUUAAUGUUUUAAUUUUCUUGUUUUUGGUUAUGGCUGCUUUCAUUUUUUUCAACAACUGAGAGGGUAACGUUGCUGAUCACGGUUCAUUUGUUCAGGUAAACCAAGUAACCAGACAAUGAGAUGACUACCAUGAUGAUUGGGAAAAACUGUUUUCGGGAUACACAACAAUACACAAUUACCUUGAAAGAGAACCUUAUUCAAUAUAUCUGAUCUUUACUUUUUUUGUUUAUCCAUCAUCAUCAUCAUCAUCAUCAACAACAACAACAUCGUCGUCGUCGUCAUCAUCACCACCACUACCAAAACCACUGCUACCAUCAUCACAACUGUAUCUCACCACUACUUUGAUUCAGAAGAAGUAGUACAAGAUUGUAGGAAAAUAAGGAAAAACAAAAGAUGGAACCUUUUCUGGCUUAACCUUUAACUCAAGCAAAGAAACUGAAACAAUAUUGAAUAUAGAAGACAUUUUUAACCUUCUAUUAAGGUCUGAUUUACCGUUUAACCUGUUAUUAUUUAACCAAUCAACUGUAUAAUAUCUAGUAAUACGUUUGAGAAAGGUUAAAGAAAGAGGCUUUCUUUUUUUCCACAACAGUUAGUCAUACCGGAAGUUUUAACGGGACACACCCUUAUAACUAACAUCCCCAAAGGUAACAUUCAAGUAUCAACAUGUAAAGAUAACCGUUUUAUUGGUAGCGUGAAUGGAAAAAUGCAAGCUGAAGAAAAAGUGAAGACAUUUAGAUUCAUCUUCAUUAAGCUUUGAAGGGCAAAGUUUCUCUUCAUUCUUCGAAGUAACGGGUUUCAUGGCCGAUAAGGAAGUUUUACUUCAAGGUUAUCAUCUUAUUCCCUGAUUGCACGCUGGCCUAAUGACAAUUAUCGAAAACCUAUGAAUAACCCAGUCUUAGAGGGAUUAAAAUGGAUAUUGAACCUGUCAUUUUAUUCCUCAGUUACAGUUAUUACUACCUGUCGCUAUCUUUUUCUUGACUUUUAUUCAGUCUCACAGUCAACCAACACAUAUAUUUUCAACAUUACUGAAGACGCCUUGAUAAUGGAGAAAGAUUUCUAUUAUCGGAGUAUUUACCUCUCACAGUUAAUUAUAACGAUAAUUAAAUAUUGCAUGAGAGAUGUUAAAUUAUCUCCUUGUCAAUAUACAAUGUAAUUAUAAAAUACUGAAGAAAGUCACCAAGAAAUCAAACAAAAAAUCCAACACAAUUGAGAUGUAAUAUCUUGUGUUUUUUGGUAAUAACGUCCGUCAAGUGCAAAUUACUCUUAAUAGCUGAAAUGUUGACUGGAGAGAAGAACAAUGUUAAUUUUAAUGGAACAAUUGAAAAAUUAAUGAACUGAUUCAUUUGAUUUCAUCUGGAACAAAUAGUUAUUCAAUUAUCAAGCUUCAUAUGUGUUAGGAAUACAAACCCAACAAGUUGAGAUGUUUACAAGCUUUCCAUUUUUUUUCGUUGGACCAGUUGAUUAUAAUAGAGUUUAGUUAACUAUUGUACUGAUUCUUCCAAAAUGAUUUACCUGAUUAGAUGUAAAGAGCAGAAGCUAAAUUUCAAAUUUAAACCUUCAGUUGUUCAGGAACAUCAUCUCAAGCUCAUUGCCAAUCAUAUAUUUGAUCGGGACUUAAUUGCUUCACACUUUGUUUCCCCGAGAAGCGAAAAAUUAAUGAAAAGAUGAUCCAAAACAUAACAGCAAAACAAUAAUGAGACUUGGUUUGACUGAAAAAAAGUCAAUUUAUCAAUUCGUUGCAUUGUUUUCAAGGUCAGAAUGAAUCCAAAGACUGGUUUCCAAUCAUGAUCAUGGUUUAUUAUCUUCAACAAUUACUAUUAACCUCAUUCUCAGGCCUCUCAUCUCAACCAACAACUCUAUCGUCUAACUCUCUCAUUUCCGUUUCAAACUUUUCUAUUUUUGAUUUCUUCUCUUCCCUUUUAGCAUUGUCAGUAAACUACAAUUGAAUCAAAUUUUCAAUUUAGAAAAGGAAAAUUAUCGAAAUUCUCGGCAAGAAUAUCAUGGAAGGAGAAAGUCAACAAGAAAGGAAAGGAAAUCUUAACAAGAAAUAAUCGAAUGAACAGCAAAUUUAUUGUCUUGAAGUCUGUAGAAAAAGAAACCUUCACUUCCAGAAAGAUACUUUUCCAUUAACAUGGUCAUCAUUUCAUCGUUACCUAAAGCAAAACAAGAAACAAAUUGUCUUAUCAAACGCAGUAAACAUCAACAGCAAUCAUAUUCAACACUUUCAUAAUUAAGAUGAAAUACUCACAGCUCUAAGGGAAAUGACAACUUUCACCCGGCAAGACAAACUAAACCAAUUCAAGUCUAUUCAAGUUCAAAAAUCAAGUCAAAUCAAUCAAUUUAGAUGAGAAAAUAAACAAUCAAAAGUUAACUCAUAAAACAGAUAAAUUUAAAUAGGGAAAUAAAUCUGGAAAACCAUUUAAAUUGUUCCAAUUGAUGAAUAUCCAUUCGAAACGGAUUUCCAGCUCAUGGUGUAAAAAUCAAAUGAACACAGAAACAAAAAUUGCUGUACUAAAGGAUCUUGGGGUCAAGCAAUCAUUCACCUAAAGGUUGAAAAAGAGAUAAAGAUGAGCAUGAAGACGAUAAAGUUCAUAUGAUGAUAAAAUAUUGUGUAUUUCAUUAUUAUUGUAUUGUUUUUGUUUCGGCGUCUUCAACAAUCUUUAUUAACGUAAGUGAUUGCUUGGACCUUAUUAACCGCAACACCCUUUAAUUAACAGAUACCACGGAUAAUUAGCCCAAAAAUAAAACAACAAUAAGAGGUAAAUAACAAAGAAACAACUACCUCAAUUUAAUUGACAAUCAACAAUGGUGAAAAGCUAGCUAUUGAAGGCAAUGUUAUGAAAAUAUCUUAUUAAUAAUCAUUCAAAUUCACUUUUCACAACCAUCUUAAAUCAACUGAAUCAACAUUGGAGCUUAAAAAUCGAGAAAUUUAUCAUAGAAAAAACUAAUUUAGAAAAUAAUAAGUAAUCAAAUUUACAAUCAACUGAAUUUUCCUCUUUCGAGGUAAUACUGGAAAAAAAUCACCUCACAACUAUAGUCAAGUAUUUGUACAAAGCUGAAAAAAAAUUAAUAAAAAUACAGUCAACUCCUUUG
Tetranychus urticae (two-spotted spider mite) is the source of this 3122-nucleotide non-coding RNA. The record is from RefSeq and is a predicted model, not a curated record. NCBI's taxonomy places the organism in Eukaryota, Metazoa, Arthropoda, Arachnida, Trombidiformes, Tetranychidae.